RNAcentral lists this ribosomal RNA (598 nucleotides) under uncultured bacterium. RNAcentral describes it as "bacterial SSU rRNA". It matches the Rfam family "Bacterial small subunit ribosomal RNA", at positions 338 to 951 of the family's 1533-position model. The record is from RNAcentral.
CCUACGGGAGGCAGCAGUGGGGAAUAUUGCACAAUGGGCGCAAGCCUGAUGCAGCGACGCCGCGUGAGGGAUGACGGCCUUCGGGUUGUAAACCUACUUCCAGUAGGGAAGAAGCGAAAGUGACGGUACCUGCAGAAGAAGCGCCGGCUAACUACGUGCCAGCAGCCGCGGUAAUACGUAGGGCGCAAGCGUUAUCCGGAAUUAUUGGGCGUAAAGAGCUCGUAGGCGGUUUGUCGCGUCUGCCGUGAAAGUCCGGGGCUCAACUCCGGAUCUGCGGUGGGUACGGGCAGACUAGAGUGAUGUAGGGGAGACUGGAAUUCCUGGUGUAGCGGUGAAAUGCGCAGAUAUCAGGAGGAACACCGAUGGCGAAGGCAGGUCUCUGGGCAUUAACUGACGCUGAGGAGCGAAAGCAUGGGGAGCGAACAGGAUUAGAUACCCUGGUAGUCCAUGCCGUAAACGUUGGGCACUAGGUGUGGGGGACAUUCCACGUUUUCCGCGCCGUAGCUAACGCAUUAAGUGCCCCGCCUGGGGNGUACGGCCGCAAGGCUAAACCUUAAGGAAUUGACGGCUGACGUGCGACGNGACACGACGGGAGAGG